UACGAAGGGGGCUAGCGUUGCUCGGAAUCACUGGGCGUAAAGGGUGCGUAGGCGGGUCUUUAAGUCAGAGGGGAAAUCCUGGAGCUCAACUCCAGAACUGCCUUUGAUACUGAGGAUCUUGAGUACGGGAGAGGUGAGUGGAACUGCGAGUGUAGAGGUGAAAUUCGUAGAUAUUCGCAAGAACACCAGUGGCGAAGGCGGCUCACUGGCCCGUUACUGACGCUGAGGCACGAAAGCGUGGGGAGCAAACAGG
This 253-nucleotide ribosomal RNA is filed under the name uncultured bacterium. Its description in RNAcentral is "partial 16S ribosomal RNA". It matches the Rfam family "Bacterial small subunit ribosomal RNA", at positions 524 to 776 of the family's 1533-position model. The record is from RNAcentral.